RNAcentral lists this ribosomal RNA (247 nucleotides) under uncultured bacterium. RNAcentral's name for it is "partial 16S ribosomal RNA". It matches the Rfam family "Bacterial small subunit ribosomal RNA", at positions 523 to 769 of the family's 1533-position model. The record is from RNAcentral.
AUACGAAGGGGGCUAGCGUUGCUCGGAAUGACUGGGCGUAAAGGGCGUGUAGGCGGUUUACACAGUCAGAUGUGAAAUCCCCGGGCUUAACCUGGGAGCUGCAUUUGAUACGUGUAGACUAGAGUGUGAGAGAGGGUUGUGGAAUUCCCAGUGUAGAGGUGAAAUUCGUAGAUAUUGGGAAGAACCCCGAUUGCGAAAGCAGCAUGCUGGGGCAUAUCUGACGCUGAGUCACGAAAGUGCGGGUAUC